GCCAGUCACAAUUCCCUCAGAACUCUCUCACCCUCUCUCAGUCCCAUCUACCUCACAAGGUGUCUGUUACGGGGAGGGGAUGGGAGGGUAAUUAUAAGCUGCUUUGAGUCUACUUAAAGGUAUAGGAAAGCGAGGUAUAAAAAAACAAAUCUUCUGAUAUUCCCCUCAGUGUUUUUGCUUUUCUUAUAUUUCCUCUUCCAACAAAAGUGCUUUUGAAAAUUUGACUCAUAUGUGUUUUGGGAAUCAAAAAGAAUAAGGUAUGUUGACCUUCAUAUAUUCCUCAUAGUCUCCUUCAGUAUAAUGAGGCUGUCUCCAUGCUAGGUCAAAAAAAAUCAAUGCAUCUUUUCUUGUGAUGAAAAAGUAACAUUUCAUCAAAUCUGACAUUCUUCAGCAGAAGUAUUUUUAAAGGCAAAUGAAUUGUCCUUUAACUUAGAAGGAUAAUAUAGUCCACCUUUAAAAACUGAAAUAUCUUUUCAAACCUUGUAACUUUGUGGAGCAAAAUUUUUUAAAAAUCCCGACAUAACAGGAGGGCAUUUCAGUUCUAAACAGUGUAAAUUUUCUUUCCUGUGUCACAAGCAACUCCUUCAGAUUCUCAGUUCAUAACUUAGAAUAACUUUUAAAGAAACAGCAUAAUCUCUAACAGUUUUCAGAUGAAAACAGGGACAAUGUUGUAUACCAUUCAUCUGUGUUUUUGCACCAAGGCGCAUCUUCCUUCUUCAGUAGCAGCACUACUUGGAGGUUCUUUUCCACUCAUCAUUCAUGUGGUGUAUUCAUUUGUUGUUAUAGCCGCUCCUCAGAGGUGGAAGAUCCCUGGUGUGUGCUGCCUGUAAUUCUCGGUUUAAAGUGCCACUUGGGGAGUUUUGCAUAAAAGCUCCAAAAGGUUGCCCUGGGACAUGGACAACUGGCUUACUUUCUCUCCCUUCCUUGUUUCUUCUUUGAUAAACUGUUCCAUCAAAUAUAUAAAUACCUUUGAAAACCUUAGUUUAAAAUUAGGAAGCUGCUGAAAAGUAAGCUCCCACACAGUGAUGCAAAUACCUCUGGAUCCACUUUCCAAGGCAGCUAUAUUCCUUGGUAGAGGAGUUUUUACUUUCUUAGUAGUCUCAUUCUAUUUACCCAUUCAAGGUUCCACUGGGAGACAUACAUUGCCUUUUAUCUGUGUCUGCCUCCAAGAAAGCAAGGAAACAAAACCUGCUGCUUUUAUGACUCAACUGGUUUCUGCCUGGUCCUAAACAUCAUCUUAUUUUAGACCCAACAGUUCCUAUCAUAGUUUUCCGGCCAAUGAAAUGCAAUGACAACUGAGCCUGUGCCAAAAUGUUGCCUUUAAUACUGAUAACCCCUAAAUAUGCCUUCACUAGAUUUACCUGCCUUAAUCCAGGAAAAAGCCUCCAAAAUAUGUAUUGAGGUUAAGCACAUUAUGAGAGUUGAAAUUGGGCUCGGUAUUUUGCAGGGCUUGAUCUUAAAGCCAAGUAGAAUCCAGCUGGUUACUUAGUGGUCUAUCCGUAUGCUGCUACAUUAGUUUAUCUGCUAUGGGACAGCAAGGAUUGCUUAUGGCUUGCUUGAUAUAAUCACAGCAUGGCUGUUGGUGACUUAAGUUUUCAGGCAGCUUUGCAAAUAAUGUUCCAAUUUAUAUUAACCUUCUUAUUUUUCAGGCUAUGCUGAGGCCUUUAUCAGUAGAAGAACACUGGCCAGUAUCCUAGUUCCUUGACAUUCUCUUAAAUUACUUUCAGCCAUGCACCAUUCUCAGCUAUUUUUCUGAAGUUUAUUUUCAUCUUCUUCUAAAGUAUUUUUUAAAGUCAGGCCUUGUUUCCACCUGUUAGAAACCAAAAGGCAAGCAUUUCAGCUCACUAACAAGAGCACGAAAGGAAAGAGAAAGAAUGCCUCCUUUCCUGGCUCUUAUUUUUUAAUGGACAUGCUGGCUCAGCAUUUCAAUUCAAUGUUUCUUGUGCUGUAAUAUUAAAAACAUUUUGUAUCUCCUGUCCAUGUUUAUCACAGCACCAAAAAUUAUUUAUUUUAGAAGUAAAUUUUCAAUACUUGAAAUUGGUUCUUAAAAAUUGAGGGUUUUAUUUUUAAAAUCUGUGAAUGUUUAUAAUUAAUAUUUAUUUUGGAACAGAUUUUCUAAAAAUAUAUUUUGCAUAUAUUAAGUUUAAGGUGACUUUGUUAAAGGGGAUUUAGUCCCUAUAUUCCCAAAACAUGUAUUCAAUUACAGGUUAAUUUCCUGUGGCAAAUCUUGAUUUUUGAUUAUGUAUGAAUAGCAUGCCUAAGCACAAGAUUUCUAUAACUAACUUUUACUAGGAGGAUGGUGUAAUUUAGGAAUUUCAGAUGGUGUGGCAUCUUAAACAUCUCGUCUUCUGAUUACUUAGCUCAGUCUGGCAAAAUUAAACUGCAGGCAGAAGCCGGCUUCUGUGGAAAGAUCCAUUUGGUGGAACACAUUCUAUUCCCAAACCAUGCAGCACGGAUUAAAAUACUAGUGCUUGUGGGCACAAUGGUCUGUGCAGGACUGGGUUUGAGGAACAUGUCUUUACUAAUAAAAAUCACUACUUGGGAGGGAAGAAGAAUGGAUCCCAACCUCCCAAAUAAGAAACUGGUGCUGACCAUCUAUUUGAUCAUCACACAUACCCGAAUAUUUCCAUGGAACCCAUUCUGGAUCACUGUUGCUUAACUUUGGCUCUUUUCCCACCCAAUUAAUCAAAUCCUCCCAUUUUAUUAUGAAUGUGGGCAGAUUUAGAAUGGUUUCCUGUGCUUAUCUGAUGUUUUUCCUCAAUUAAUAUGUGAAGCAUCAUUAAAUGGGGGCCAGUCCUUCAGGAACUUUAGAAGAUUUACAGCCUUACCUCUUAUAUGUGUUAUGUACUCAGUCUUGGUGAACUACAGUGGAAUCCCUUUUGGUAAUACAUUGAGAACAGGAUGAUUCAGGUAGAAUUUAUGUCGAAAGAAAUUCACACUACUGUUGGAACCAACUUUUUAUAGUUGAUGCCCACCAUUAAUAGAGAUGAGAAUCUGUCAUAAUGAAUUCUAUAAAUAUUAACUACCAUUAGGCAGUUUGGAAAUGUAUUUUAAACAUAGCCAAAAUGGUAGUCCCUGCUCUGUUUCUUGCAGUAUAGAAGAUUCUGUGGAAAGCCACAGACUGUAGACUGACUAUAAAACCAAACAAGAACAUGCCAAUUCUCAGGCUAGGAACAACCCCCCAGUUUAGAAAAAAAGAAAGAUGGAUCACUGGGAUUUUAUAGAAUGAAGCUGUUUGGUACAAAUAUUUGCAGAGGACAUGUUGGCAAGUAUGCUCAGUUCACCUUUUAAAUAGUUCACCUUUUAAGUAGACAUUUUUUACACUAAAUUUCAUGACUUGGAUGGGUUUGGAAACAGCAUCCUGGAUUAUACAACCUAUGGCCAGCUCUGCCAACGUUUGGCUUUUAAUCAGCUUGCCUCAGCACCAGCAGUCUCUAUAGUUCUUCUGUUAGUUUCCUUCCUCUCUCAUGUACUUAAAUUGCAGGUGGAAUGAGCAAAAGCUGAGAAGGGGGGAUCCAUCUUUCAAUUCCUCAGGUUCCCUAUGACACAUUGAAGUUUCUAGGGUGGGAUGGGCUGGCCAUCUAAUUUACAGGGAAAGUUCUCUGUGGACUAUUGCCCUGAAGGGCUGCUGGCAGCCCUGGAACAAACAAAGCUAUGGACCUGUAGCACCACUAAUGCUGCAAGGCUCACUUGGCUCAGACCUGGGCAGUGUGUGGGAAGGGGCAGCAGGUGAGCCAACACCCAUGGCUGGUUCUGCAGCCCAGAUAUGGCCUGAGUGGGCCCAGUUUGUGUCACUGCAGGAACAACUCAGCCUCACUUUCAGUUGAGCCAUGUGAACUUUCCAGUCUCUCUAGUUUUAUGCAUAUUUGGGAGUUUCUAUUGCUGCUGGCAACACUGUUAUUUUAUGUGUGUAAUAUAUUUAUAAAAUAUAUUGAGCCAGAAUAAAUUCAGUUACAAAACCUAGAACUCUUAGCAACUAUGGCUGUUCUUCCACAUGCUCCAAAUUCUCCCAGUUUGUUGCCAGUUGUUCUGGAAGCUUUAAGAUGAAUGUCAAACCCUCAAGGGGUCUGUAGAAGACCAACAGGGAUCUGCCCAAAUUUUCAUACAACUCCUGACCAUUCUCCACAUGUUCUCUGACAAAACACAGAAAAAAAUCAGGUCUAUUCUGAAUCAAAAUGGGGAAGGUGACAUUUGCCCAGUGCUAGUCCAGACUGGAUGAUGAAAAGCCACUGUGUCAGCUUACUAGAAUGAGCUUUGGAAAUUGUCCAGAAAUCAAAUCUGCGUGCUCUUGCACUGUUUCCAUUCAUUUAAUGGAACUUGUGCAGAUGUUCCAGUGUCUUUAUGGUUAUUCCUGCACUAUUAUGAGAUUUUUAAAUGAUUUUAAAAAAUAAAUUAUUGUUAAAUGAGAGAAAAUUGGAUGAAAUCAGUGUUUCAGAGAUUAAAAACUAUGUAUUAUAAAUAUACUGUAGCCUGAUGGCUGAAAGGCAUAAUGAGCACUUUAAGAGCAAAUUUAUUUGUGCACUUUUCUUUUAAAUUGCCUUCUAUCCAGAAUUUUGUGUCAGGCCAGAAGCAGAGAGACUACAAUACAUGCUUUAUGGUUUUAAAACAUAUAUAUAUAGUGUGUUAUUGCGGGUAACUUUUACAGCUUAAAUGUAGCUACUGACAAUGAAAUGAUACUGAGAUAAAAGUCACAUUUGGGGGGAGUGGGGAUAUUAUUAUUUUCUAUAAAUCUUCAUAGCCUUGUGUACAGUAACCAUUUGGCAUAAACUACAGAAUAGUGAGAAUUAUGCCAUGUCUAAAAGAAGAGAAGUUAGCAAAGUACAUUCUUCUCUGUGACAAAUGUUUUGGUAUUGUACAAUUGAAUUCUCUAAAGGCAAUUAUGUAGAUUUUAAAAAUCAGAAAAAAUUGGGCAAUUAUCUAUUUUGUGUAUUUUCGCAUACAGAAGGAGUUUUUUAAAUGUGCCAAUAAUCAUCACUGUGCUGUUUUGUAACAAAGUGCUAAUGGUGUUCAGAAGUACUGUAUAUGAAAAUAUUUUAACCACAAGAUUUAUUAGUAAAUAUCAAACACAUUUCCUAAUCUGACUUGCAUCUCUUGGGAUCAAGGCAGUUAAAUUAGUAUAAGAAACUAGUUUCUAAAAAAAACCUUUUGUAUGUAGUAAAUAUGAAUUGUAUUACAUUCAACAACUGGGCAUGUGUAAUUAAAUAAAGCUUUAUAUGUGUAUAUAUAUAAAUACAUAAUGUUGCAGUACAUAUUGGCUUUAGAUACAUUUAUCUAAAUUGGUUUUGACAUUUUAAUUCAUUUUAUGUAACCUACCAAAGGAGGUGAGAAGAUAGCACAAAUCUGCCAACCCUGCCUCAUUAGCACUCAAAACUAUGAGAAUUCUGCUCUGCUCCCUGGAUCACAGCAACACAUAGAAUAAAUUUAUGUUACAGCCCUAAGGAGCAAUCCUAAAAUAGUCUACUUGGAAGCAAGUCCUAUGUUAUUCAAUGGGGCUAAUUUCCAGGAAAUUUUCUUUAGGAUUACAGCCAUAUUAUUUAAAAGUAUCUAAGUGCAUGAUCAGUACUUAGAUACAAUUUUUAAGUUACCUGCAGUUAAGUGUUGGGUCAACAGUUAUUUUGUUUUCCAUUCAAGCAUGCAUUUUCUCUUAAUUGCUUCUCUUCCCCACCCUUUACUCCUGGUAGACUUAAUUAGUGUGCUUCAGAAACAGUUUUCCCUAGAUCAUGAACAGUUUAUCUAGGCUGGCGUUAGAACUCCUACAGUGAUUUCUGUUUUCUCUGUGGUGGCUUUAGACAGACUUGCCUGUAUCAUACUGAAACUCAGAAAAGACAGAGACUCUGUUGGUCUUUAAAAACUCAGUUACGGCUGCAUGUGGCCCCAGUUUGAACUGUGGAGGAGAAGGGCAUUUUGCUCUUGUAGGCCCCUCCCAUACACUACUUUUAAUCCUUUGAAGGAAAAGGGGAUGCUGUGAGUCGGAAGAUUCCCUGCACUUUCUUUAAAGAGUUUUUAAAGAAGUAUUCAGAUCCAUGAUCUUGUCUCCUUUGAGCUUGAAAUAUUGAAGUGACUUGUGAAGAAUACUGCCUCCCACUUCCGCAAUGUAUGUAUGGACCAGUCCCACACCAGCUUGUUUUUACAAUUUUAGCACAUCCUGUUUUGUUUCUCAACCAGCCAAGCCUAUAAUGUAUAAAAGUGGUGUAUAUUUUAUUAAAACAUGGUGAUAUAAAGUUAUAUGUUUUUAUGUUCCAGUUGCUUUACUGGACGUUCAGUCUGUAUGUAAAAAUAAAUAUAUUUAACAAAUUGUCUGACAAUUGUAAAUGAAUGAAUAAAAGUGAGAGCUGAUUACAAA
This is a long non-coding RNA of Sphaerodactylus townsendi, 6343 nucleotides long. RefSeq lists it as uncharacterized. The transcript has 2 exons. Lineage: Eukaryota; Metazoa; Chordata; Lepidosauria; Squamata; Sphaerodactylidae. The record is from RefSeq and is a predicted model, not a curated record.